UGUUAGAAGGAAUGAGACAGGCAGC
This 25-nucleotide non-coding RNA is filed under the name Mus musculus (house mouse). The record is from RNAcentral. Lineage: Eukaryota; Metazoa; Chordata; Mammalia; Rodentia; Muridae.